GAUGAACGCUGGCGGCGUGCCUAAUACAUGCAAGUCGAGCGAACGGACGAGAAGCUUGCUUCUCUGAUGUUAGCGGCGGACGGGUGAGUAACACGUGGAUAACCUACCUAUAAGACUGGGAUAACUUCGGGAAACCGGAGCUAAUACCGGAUAAUAUUUUGAACCGCAUGGUUCAAAAGUGAAAGACGGUCUUGCUGUCACUUAUAGAUGGAUCCGCGCUGCACUAGCUAGUUGGUAAGGUAACGGCUUACCAAGGCAACGAUGCAUAGCCGACCUGAGAGGGUGAUCGGCCACACUGGAACUGAGACACGGUCCAGACUCCUACGGGAGGCAGCAGUAGGGAAUCUUCCGCAAUGGGCGAAGGCCUGACGGAGCAACGCCGCGUGAGUGAUGAAGGUCUUCGGAUCGUAAAACUCUGUUAUUAGGGAAGAACAUAUGUGUAAGUAACUGUGCACAUCUUGACGGUACCUAAUCAGAAAGCCACGGCUAACUACGUG
RNAcentral lists this ribosomal RNA (497 nucleotides) under uncultured bacterium. RNAcentral's name for it is "partial 16S ribosomal RNA". It matches the Rfam family "Bacterial small subunit ribosomal RNA", at positions 28 to 507 of the family's 1533-position model. The record is from RNAcentral.